Molecule: non-coding RNA, 1188 nt
Organism: Sus scrofa (pig)
Lineage: Eukaryota; Metazoa; Chordata; Mammalia; Artiodactyla; Suidae
Source: RefSeq, a predicted model, not a curated record
UUUCAAGCGUUUCACAUCCUUCACAUCUCACACUUAGAAGCAUCUGGGAGGACAGAGAAGGGCUGAGGAUGAGGGUGAGGAGACCUCCUGCUGCACCUCCCUCCCAUCUGGUAUCCAGAAGAAUGAACUCAAAGGGCUUGGCCAGCUGGCUCUGAAUUCUGACCUCCCUGCGAAAGCAUAGAAGGUUACUUACACUGUUUCAGCUGCUCCAGAAAGAGCUCUACCAGGGGGAUGGGGAUGAGGGUUGUGUGCUGUUAUCUGUACAACCUUGGGGGCAUGAACCCACUGAUCUGAAGAAGAUUUGUCCCCAACAGAAGAGGCCCUCUCUCCGAGGCACCUCUGAGGCCCCAGAGGAGAAGGCGGGCUGAGGAGCUGAGAAAGAUGCACCCCCUUCUCUCCCCAGAGGUGGGAGGGAGACUCUGUCCCUGACCCCCUUCGACUCUUCCCAAGUGGACAGGGCUGGCCUGUCCAGACCCUGGGCCCCUCCACCUGAAAAGGAGAAGCCUGGGGAGGAGCUGGGCAAGUUGCUAAGAGAAGCUGCCUGGAGAAUUCCACCUCUGCCUGCCUCGGGGUGUCCAGGCUUCUGGAACACGGGGUGUCCUGUGAGACUCUUGGUGUUCAUGUUCCUGCCCAGCACUGCCUGGCUUCCUACAAAGGCCUCCUCUCCCAGCUCAGGGCCUUGCCCUGGCCCUGUGCCUGCCUUGUCCCCGUCCUUCUGCAGUCUGGUGAAAAAGCUCAUCCUAUUUUCACUUACACUGAUCCUUGGCCUGGAAUGCACCCUCCUCCCUGCCUGGCCUCAGGCCAGCCCCUCCUCCAAAGCCCCCUGUGUCCUCUUGCCUCAGUGCCCUGCUUCUACUGCACUUGGCUGUGACCAUUUCCUACCACCCCCACCACGCGACAAAGUGAAUCCCCUUUGCGCUCAACUCACACCUCUCCUAAUGGCACCACUUUUGGUCUCAGGUGUAGGUAUUUGGUUCCUGUCCUGAGUUCUCCCCUAAACUGAGACCCUUGAGGUAGAGGGGCCAUCUCUGUGUCUCUCCCCAGUUAGGACCUGGCCCAGAGUAGGUGCUCAGUGGUGUGUGCGGAGGGAACGCUGCUGGGCACAGGUUAACCCAUCUCCCCACUGCCCCCUGAGUAAGAGGAGUUUGCUCAUGGUAACAUGGUGGUGGGUCCCCAGAACUAUCAGGA